GAGUUUGAUCAUGGCUCAGAUUGAACGCUGGCGGCAUGCUUUACACAUGCAAGUCGAACGGUAACAGGGAGCUUGCUCCGCUGACGAGUGGCGAACGGGUGAGUAAUGCGUCGGAACGUGCCGAGUAGUGGGGGAUAACGCAUCGAAAGGUGUGCUAAUACCGCAUACGAACUGAGGUUGAAAGUGGGGGACCUUCGGGCCUCACGCUAUUCGAGCGGCCGACGUCUGAUUAGCUAGUAGGUGAGGUAAAGGCUCACCUAGGCGACGAUCAGUAGCGGGUCUGAGAGGAUGAUCCGCCACACUGGGACUGAGACACGGCCCAGACUCCUACGGGAGGCAGCAGUGGGG
Molecule: ribosomal RNA, 348 nt
Filed under: uncultured bacterium
Lineage: Bacteria
Description: bacterial SSU rRNA
Rfam family: Bacterial small subunit ribosomal RNA
Source: RNAcentral